GAUGAACGCUGGCGGCGUGCCUAAUACAUGCAAGUCGAGCGAACAGACGAGGAGCUUGCUCCUCUGACGUUAGCGGCGGACGGGUGAGUAACACGUGGAUAACCUACCUAUAAGACUGGGAUAACUUCGGGAAACCGGAGCUAAUACCGGAUAAUAUAUUGAACCGCAUGGUUCAAUAGUGAAAGACGGUUUUGCUGUCACUUAUGGAUGGAUCCGCGCCGCAUUAGCUAGUUGGUAAGGUAACGGCUUACCAAGGCAACGAUGCGUAGCCGACCUGAGAGGAUGAUCGGCCACACUGGAACUGAGACACGGUCCAGACUCCUACGGGAGGCAGCAGUAGGGAAUCUUCCGCAAUGGGCGGAAGCCUGACGGAGCAACGCCGCGUGAAUGAUGAAGGUCUUCGGAUCGUAAAGCUCUGUUAUUAGGGAAGAACAAAUGUGUAAGUAACUAUGCACGUCUUGACGGUACCUAAUCAGAAAGCCCCGGCUAACUACGUG
Molecule: ribosomal RNA, 497 nt
Filed under: uncultured bacterium
Lineage: Bacteria
Description: partial 16S ribosomal RNA
Rfam family: Bacterial small subunit ribosomal RNA
Source: RNAcentral